UGAGUCCCGGACGGGUGAGUAACGCGUGGGUAACCUGCCUCAUACAGGGGGAUAACAGUUAGAAAUGACUGCUAAUACCGCAUAAGCGCACAAAACCGCAUGGUUUGGUGUGAAAAACUGAGGUGGUAUGAGAUGGACCCGCGUCUGAUUAGCUAGUUGGAGAGGUAACGGCCCACCAAGGCAACGAUCAGUAGCCGACCUGAGAGGGUGACCGGCCACAUUGGGACUGAGACACGGCCCAAACUCCUACGGGAGGCAGCAGUGGGGAAUAUUGCACAAUGGGGGAAACCCUGAUGCAGCAACGCCGCGUGAGUGAAGAAGUAUUUCGGUAUGUAAAGCUCUAUCAGCAGGGAAGAAGAGAGACGGUACCUGACUAAGAAGCCCCGGCUAACUACGUGCCAGCAGCCGCGGUAAUACGUAGGGGGCAAGCGUUAUCCGGAUUUACUGGGUGUAAAGGGAGCGUAGACGGUUGCAUAAGUCUGAAGUGAAAGGCCAAGGCUUAACCAUGGAACCGCUUUGGAAACUAUGAGGCUAGGGUGCUGGAGAGGUAAGCGGAAUUCCUAGUGUAGCGGUGAAAUGCGUAGAUAUUAGGAGGAACACCAGUGGCGAAGGCGGCUUACUGGACAGAAACUGACGUUGAGGCUCGAAAGCGUGGGGAGCAA
RNAcentral lists this ribosomal RNA (662 nucleotides) under uncultured bacterium. RNAcentral's name for it is "bacterial SSU rRNA". It matches the Rfam family "Bacterial small subunit ribosomal RNA", at positions 92 to 771 of the family's 1533-position model. The record is from RNAcentral.